UAAUACGAACCGUCCAAACGUUAUUCGGAAUCACUGGGCUUAAAGGGUGCGUAGGCGGCCCGGCAAGUUGGGUGUGAAAUCCCUCGGCUCAACCGAGGAAUAGCGCCCAAAACUGCCGGGCUUGAGGGAGACAGAGGUGAGCGGAACAGCGGGUGGAGCGGUGAAAUGCGUUGAUAUCCGCUGGAACACCGGUGGCGAAAGCGGCUCACUGGGUCUUUACUGACGCUGAGGCACGAAAGCCAGGGGAGCGAACGGG
This 256-nucleotide ribosomal RNA is filed under the name uncultured bacterium. Its description in RNAcentral is "partial 16S ribosomal RNA". It matches the Rfam family "Bacterial small subunit ribosomal RNA", at positions 521 to 776 of the family's 1533-position model. The record is from RNAcentral.